This 37209-nucleotide long non-coding RNA is filed under the name Phaseolus vulgaris (common bean). Its description in RNAcentral is "long non-coding RNA (PVUL_LNC002685)". Lineage: Eukaryota; Viridiplantae; Streptophyta; Magnoliopsida; Fabales; Fabaceae. The record is from RNAcentral.
GAGGAUUGAACCGACCACGUGCAUUGACUAUGCACAUCAUGCGAACAUCCUCAUCUGCCUCUAUUUGCAUUGCUUUUGUGCGACACCGUCAUAGGCAUGCUGUGAUAAGAUCAAAUGUGGAGCAAUGUUGAAGGUGUUGGGGAAUCAAUUUGCGAAGUGCAGCUAUGUCGAGGGUUCUAAAGAAGAAUGAUCGUUGAAUCAAGUUGUGGUUGGAAGAAGGGAGGUUAUCUUGGAUUUGCUCGUAUUCGCGAUGGUUAAAUGUAAUGCGAGGUGGAUCUCUUGCCAUUAGAAGUUCCCUACCCCAUACUGGUGCAAUGGAAGGUUUGGUUACUCCUCUAGCUAUUUCGGCCCAAGCGUUAAUGAAUUGUUGGUAACCAAAACCAUCAAACAUAGUGUGGUUGAAGCGAACGACUAAGAUGAAACCACCACACUUAAGUCGUGUUACCUGCAUUUAUGUUCCAUCUUCAAUAACUAAAAGAAACAAGCUACUUAUAAAUGUUUUAAUUAAAUUCUCACAUCCAUUACCAAAUUAAUAUAUAUAUAUAUAUAUAUAUAUAUAUAUAUAUAUAUAUAAGUAAUCACUUAGAGUGUGUCACUCGAGCAUUUAUUUAAGUUAUCUGAGUUUGAGAGUUAGUUAACAAUUUCUUCUCCAAAUUGAAGUUGUGAAUAUUUUUACUUUAUUAGAGUACUUACCAUAACUUCUGCAUUAAAAAAUAAAUAAGUAAAUAAUAAAUACAAUAAGAUUUUAAAAUGUAGUUCAACAGUAUUAAAAUAGGAGUUACACUGAUUAUCUCAGCCAUAAAUUAUUGUAUAUUUAUUUAAAUUAAAAUGAAUUUAAAGAUUUUAAUAAAAAGUUCUAAUCUGAAUUUUAAUAUUCUCUUAGAUAGGCAACACAAAUAUUUAUUAAUAAUAUUAUUCAAUUAAAAUAAUUUUUUAAUGUUAAAGGGAUAAAACAAAAAUUUAACUGCAGAUAACUACAACCAAAAAUCAACUUAAAAUUAAAACCAGUGGAAAGCCGUGAAACUUACAUUUUAUAAAUUAAAACAAUUUUUUUCCCUUACUCAUCAUGGAUUUUAGAUAACUAAUAUCAAACAUAAAAUAAAAUUAAACAAAUGAUAAUAAUAUUCAUUAAAACGAAAGCACAUUUGAAUUCCUAAGACUCCCAAUUCAAUAGAUCUGAAAUCUAGACUAGAAAGCACAUUUGAAUUGUUUUUUAUAUUUUAUUUUUUAAAAACAAAUUUCAAAACAUGGUGGAUUUUGACAGAAUUUAAUUUGGAAGUAACAUAUAAUUAUAUCAGAAUUUCAGUUUUUAAAAUUUAAAAAAAAAUCUAAAAAAUGAAUCAAAAUGUUCUAGUUUGAUGAGUGUGCGUAGUGAACCUGUACGAGUAGAAGGGGAGUGUCGGUAAUUUGUUGUGAGCCAGGAACAUCGUACAGCAGUUCAUCAAAGCAUGGAAAUGGAGGUUGGAGAGAAUCACCAAACUCAGCCAGUGUGACGUCAGCAUCACCCUCCAUGAACAUGGCUCCUUCUCCAGUGCAAUCCACCAUUAAUUUGCGUUGAGGUCCCUCCCUAAGCCUACCUGCAAAUGGGUAAUAGAAGACAAGUGUUUGCGACAGUGCUUGCCGAAUCACUUCAACUGGGUCUUUCUCUGUCAUUAACACUCGUAGGACACUUAUCGGUGAAGUGUUCAAUUAAAAGAAUAUUUGUUGGAUUUUUGAAAAUUCUAGCACGGUUCUAACAUAGUUUUAAAAGGUAUAAAUAUAAUAAUUUUCUAAAAACUCAAUUUUAUUGUAUAAAUUUGUAUUAUAAUUAUAAAAAUAAGGAAUAAAUUCUUUUGAACCAGUCAUGAAAAAUAUCUUCUUGCUUCCAAAAGAAUUUGAAACAUACUUUUGCACAUAAAUAUUUAUUUUUCAAUUUAUAUUCAAAAUUAUAUAAUAUAUAGAUCCGUGUCCCUGUAUCCUAUAUUUUUUAGAUUAUGCGUAUUUUCGUGUCUACAUCGUGUCAGUGUCUGUAUCCGUAUCUGUGCUACAUAGGUUCUCAUCAAAUAAAUUAGAAAGGGUGGUGAUAUUUUAAUACGAAGGGAAAUGAUGUUUUUGAAAAAGUUGUAUAAUUCUUGAUGUUUGAUGUGAUAAGUUUAAAUAUAAAUAUAUAUAAUAUUAAAUAAAUUUUUAAUUAAAUAAUAUAAAAAAUAAUAAAAUAAUAAUAUUAAGAGUUCUAACGUAAUUAUAUAAAAAAAUAUGGAUGUAUCAUUAUCCUACAAUAAAAUAUAUACACUCUACACACAAAUAAAUGAUUAUUUUAAUUAUAUUUAUUUUAUUUUUAAUUAAAAAUAUUAUUAUAUUAUUAUAAUUAACUUGGCUGUCAGAUGUAUGGUUUAAUGUGUGGGUGUUAAAGUAAACUUUUCCAUUUCUAAACACGUUUUUUAAGAGCAAUAAAUUCGAAAUACAUUUUUCAUAAAGAGUUUUGAUACUUUCAAAAUUAUGUAUGCAAUAAGUUGAUAAUGGGAGAGAAAAAUAACUUUAUGUAUAUAUUAAGUUAUCAUUGACAAUUGAAGAUAGAAAUAACUUUUUAUGUAUACAAUCAUUGAUAAUUGGAGAGAAAUAACUUUUUUAUGUAUACAAUCGUUGAUAAUUGGAGAGAGAAAUAAUUUUUUAUGCAUUAAGUUUAUCCAUUAAGUUACAGUUGACAAUCAAAGAGAGAAAUAACUUUUUAUGUAUGCAAUAAAAUAAGUUACCGUUGACAGGUGGAGAGAGAAAUAACUUUUUAUGUAUACAAUAAGUUAUUGUUAAUAAUAAGUUAUUUGUUAACAAUUGAAUAGAGAAACAACUUUUUAUAAAAUAAAUAAUUUUAAAAUUAUAUUAGUAAAAUCACAAUUAUAAGUUGGUCUCCUUCAAUUUAUAAUAAUUAGAAUUUUUUUUUAAAAUAAAUAAUUUUAAAAUUAUAUUAGUAAAAUCACACUUGUCAACUAAUCACCUUCAACUUUCGGUGCUGAAAGCAAUAUUUUUCAAACUAAAAACACUCUUAAUGAAAGUAUAUUUCUCUUUGGUGUAAAAUAAGUCAUUCUCUUUCAUGAUAACAUAAGAAAUUUUCUACCAACAAUUUUUCUUUUAUUAUCAUUAUAACAAACUAGCGAAAACACAAACACUAUUAUAUCUGUGUGUAUUUAUAUUUUUUAUUUUUAUUAUUAUUAUAUGUAUAUUAUUAUUCUCACAAUAAAAAAUAUAUUAAACAAAUUUAAAUUUAUAACACAAUAAACAUAAUUAUAUUAAAACAAUUACAUCCUUUGUUUCUUUCUCAAAACUUAUAAAUCACUAAUUUCUAAGAUGAGAUGAGAAACUCCCCAAUAACAAACUCUAAAUAUAUAUUUUUUUUUCAACAAAGAAUUAAUUAAAUUAAAAUAGAGACACUUUAGGGGUAUCUCAAUCCUAAUACAAAGAACCAUAAAACUAAUUCUACCAGCUAUUUAAAAUAAACUACUUCACCAAACACACAUUGGCUCCAAUAAAAAACAACCCCAGCAGCCUGCAUAAUAGUCUUCACACCAACAUAAUGGUAUCUUAAUACCUAGUAUAGAUACGCACUUCAGACUUCCCUUUCUCUUUUAGCUACUCCUAAAAGUUGUACCCAAACAUCCCAACUAAAAACCAAUGGCUGAAUAGAGCCCUAUUACUAGAUUACAAUUCCAAUCUCAGACUAACAACAAAGCAUAUAGUGGAAUAACCCUUCGUAGCUACACCAGUUCAGGAAUUCUUAUAAAAAACAUUAAUCUUAAAGCCACUUCCAGCUUAGUCUUCAUCUUCAUGCCAAAGCCUCCCCACAAAAAAAGUGAUUCCUCUUCCUCCACCUUACAUAACAAUAAAAACAUAAUGAAACAACUCCUCUUCCUUCAAUGUACUUCCUCUCUUUCUACUCCCUUUUACUGGAAAAAAUUAUGCUCCCCACAGUUGAGCCUGCAUCAAAAAAGAUAACCUUCCCACCGCACAAGUCUAAAACAUUGAAUCAAGACAGAUAACUUCUACAAGCAUAUUACAAAACGUCCGACCAUAACAUUCAUCAAGUACAAAGAUUAUCCAGACUCCUGUAAUUUGCGAACAGAAAUAUGUAAAAGGUUAGGCAAACAAAAAGACAGAGAUACCACCCUUACCUUGUUACCAUAUUGAUGCAUGUGAAAGGUGAUAGAAUCCAGUCCGAAAAGGAGAAAGUAACUCUCUUAUCUUUAUGUUUCAUCCAAACCCAAGAUUGUACUUGUGCCAUAGUAAAAAUUUCCUCUACAUCUACCUUUGCUUGAUUAAAGGUGACCCUAUUUCUAUGCUUCCAUAUAGUCCAUACAAUUGAGACCCACAAACUCAUCCAAAGUCUAUUGCCUUCCUUAUUAAAGCAGAUGCUAGAGAAUUGUUCGAAGUGAUUAUUCAGCACUAUGUGAUUCACCGAACAGAUUCCCAACCAACUAGAGCACAUAUUCCACACUUUACUUGACUCCCUACAUGAGAGAAGGAUAUGCGUAGAAGUCUCCUCUUCCCUUCCGCAUAAAGCACAUAAAGUAUCCCUUAGUGGCACACCCCUCUUAUGCAGAUUCUAUUUUGUCGCGAUCCUAUCCGAAAGGGCUCUCCAUACAAAGAACAAAGCUGAGGGCAUUGCCUUCAGAUCCCAGAGAGAACCAAACACUGAUACCCCCCCUUGCCUAUAAUUAGCUAGCUUAUUAUAAGCAGAUUUAACCGAGAAAGAGUAUGAUGGGGGUCGUUCCAUAACCUUACAUCCUCAUUAUCUGGUUGAAAUGACGCCAUUGAUAUUAUUGACAUGAAGUCAUCUACCAAGGUCUUCUCCCAUUCAAACCAUUCUCUUCUCCAACUGAACAUCCACUCCCACCGAUCUAUAUUCCAUCUGCCAAAACUUCCGAUAGUCUUGUCUUUAAGCACAGAGUUGUUGUACAUUCUUUCAUACCUUGCUUUGAGUUGGCCAAUAGCUAGCCAUUCAUCUUCCCAAAAUUUGAUCUUGUCCCCUUUUCCAGCUUUCCAAUAUGUAUUCUGUUUAAACCAGUUGUCGCCUUGGUCUGAUAGUCCAACUCUAGAUAAGUCAUUCCACCAUCUAGAUGUGAGCUUAUUUCGAUUCGGUGUACAUGAAUUCAAUAACCUCCUCAAAUCAUACUUAGAUUCCAAAACCUCCUUCCAAAGUCCACGCUCAUUGGAAUCUAACCUCCAUAGCCAUUUUGCCAAGAGAGCCUUAUUAAACAAGUCGAUACGUUUAAUGCCAAGACCACCCUCUUCUUUCGCUUUACAGAUAUUUUCCCAACUAGUCCAGGCGAUUUUCCUCCCUUCCUUUCCCCACCCCCACAAAAAUUUCCGUUGUAGCUUAGUGAUUUCCUUACACACUCCAGUUGGGGCUUUAAAGAAGGAUAGAUAAAAGAGUGGAACGACAUUUAUAACAGAUUUUAUAAGGCAGACUCUUCCCGCAAAGGAUAAAUUCCUACCCUUCCAUACAGACAAAUUCUUUCUUAUCUUUAAUAACACUGGUUCCCAGAAAGAACAUCUCGAUGGGUUACCACCUAUAGGUAACCCUAGGCAGGUGAAUGGGAUAUCCAUUAGACCACAAUGGAGGAUUUCAGAAUACAUUUUCACCUCGUACCUUUCUACUCCAAUUGCCCCAAUCUUGCUCUUGUGAAAGUUAACUUUGAGACCUGAGCUUAAUUCGAAGCAUCUUAGAAUAGCCUUGAUACACAUGAUGUUCUGCACAUUUGGUUCACAUACGAAAAGGGUAUCAUCUGCAAAUUGUAGUAGAUUUACCUCCACCUUUUUACCCCCCACUUUAAUACCCAAAAGCAGAUUCUUUCUUGUGGCUUGCUUUGCUAACCCAGCUAAUCCUUGUGCCACAAUCAGAAACAAGAAUGGCGCCAGCGGAUCCCCUUGUCUAAGGCCUCUAGUUGGUUUAAAUUCCUUUGUUGGACUACCAUUUACCAAAACCGAUAUUGUAGCUGAUUCAAGACAUGCUCUAAUCCAUUGAACCCAUUUCUCACAGAAACCUAGUCUUCGCAUCAUAUAAAAUAAAAAAUCCCAACUUACCGAAUCAUACGCCUUCUCAAAGUCAAGUUUCACUACCACCCCACUCUUUCUCCUUUUUUUUAGAUCAUCCACAACCUCAUUCAAUACGAGAACACUGUCUAACAAACCUCUAUUAGACAGAAAUGCAGAUUGUGACUCAUCUAUUACGUUGGCAAUGACCCUUUUAAUCCUAUUAGCUAGCACUUUCGUCAAAAUCUUAUACAAGCAACCAACAAGAGAGAUAUGUCUAUACUCUUGAAGGGAUUGGGGAUUCUCCGAUUUUGGGAUCAACAUUAUAAAAGACGCAUUACAGCCCUUCGGGAUCAUCCCCUCUUUAUGAAAGAAUUUUACAGCUCCCAACAUGUCUUUUUCUAAGAUAUUCCAAUUAUUUUUAAUGAAGCUGAAGGUGACUCCAUCUGGGCCAGGACUUUUAUGACUAUCACAAUUCCAGAUGGCUUCCUUUAUUUCUUUUUCAUCAAACGGUUCAGUCAGGAAUCUAUUUUCAGAAACGGAUAUCUCCUUGAAAACCACAUUAUCCAGCCUAACACCGAUAUCUUCGGUGGCCGACAUCUUGUUUUUGUAAAAAUCCAAAACCAUCUCUUUUACCUUGUUUGGUUCUUCCACCCAGCUCCCAGAUAUAUUACAAUUCAUACCUUUUAUUUCAUUCCUCAUCCUUCUCCAUUUGAUAGAAGUGUGAAAGAAUUUAGAGUUUAGAUCCCCUUGCUUAAUCCAUAAUGCUCUUGAUUUUUGCUGUAAUAGGGAUUCAUUUCUCUCAUUUAUAACCUAUAACCGGCUCAAGAGUUCUCUUCUUACCAUGAUCUUGUUUUCAUCCAAACCCUCCUCAUCAUCUCUCGAAUCCAACUCUUGUAUUUUCCUCAAGAUCUCAAGUUUAGACUUUUCAGUAUGCCCGAAAACAUCUCUAUUCCAACCUUUUAGGUCACUCUUUAGCAUUUUUAGUUUCUCUUUUAACACCACAAUUUCGUUACCUUGAACCAGGUAACUUUCCCACUUGCUUUUUACAAAGUUAACAAACUCUUUGUCUUCCUGCCAAAUGUCAAGAAACCUAAAAGGUUUUGGACCCCAAUCUGCCACAUUUGAUUUUAACACUAACGCACAAUGAUAAGAUAUUUGUCUCUCUAAAACGUAUUGCUUACUACCUGGCCAGUGUUGUAACCAUUCAAAGGACAUCAAAAAUCUGUCAAGCCUACUCUUUGCUUUACCGUUAGGUCUAUACCAAGUAUAUUUUCUUCCAAUACAGGGUAUAUCCACCAUUUCCAUAUUAUCAAUGAAAUUAUUGAAACCUUGCAUUUCUCUCUUAUUGCCGCUUACUUUAUUAACCCCCCUUCGUUCCUUCCCGUUUCUUAUGGAGUUGAAAUCCCUCAAUAUACACCAAGACCUACAAGGUUCCCUUUGCCUAAUCUCCAAUAAUUCUGACCACAUUUGUGUUUUCUCGUGUAUGAUACAGGAAGAAUACACAUUUACGAUAACUACAGGGAUAUUUUUCUCCUUAGAUAAUCUAGAGAACACUAUAAACCUUCUGUUAAUGAUUUUGCUGUUGCACUGGAAGAACACUUUGUGCCAAAUCAUAAGAAUACCCCCUGACCCAUUUACUGGCUCACUGUAUAAGAAAUCAAUGUCAUUAUCGCCCCAUAACUUACAACAUAAAUCUAGACUAAAAUUACUCAUUCUUACUUCUUGUAAACAUAACAUUUAAAUCCCCUCCUUUCUAAUAAUUUCCUUAACAUACCUCCACUUUACAAGGUUCUCGAACCCUCUCACAUUUAAAGAGAGAAUUCUCAUUAACAACCUAAAACCUCCCCUGCUUCCCUUUUAAGUUUCAUAAACCUAUCCCUUUUUUCCAAUUCCUCUAGGCUUACCAUAACUUUUCCUUCUUCCCCGCAAGAAGCCCCUAACUGUUUGCCCAACUCCCACACUCUAAUUGUUUCAAGGCUUCCAUGUUUCAACCAAAAUAAACGAUUACAGUUAUCAAUGGCUGUAUCAGAGACAAAAAUACUAAUUUGAGAUAGAGCUGACCUUAUAUUCUUACGUUCGUCCUGCUUACUGCUCUUGCUUGAUUCUCCCACCUAGAACUCUCUCCUAUCCAUCGUUUCAAACGAAUUAGAAUUAGUCGAAUUGCAUACGUGCUUUUUUUGGUGGUUCGCUUCGUCCUCGACCAAUUGGAUCCCCUUUUUCUUUUGCUUGCCGAACGGAAGGUAUGUAUCUUUGAUUCUGCAAGAUUUCGAAUCCAAGUGAAAUUGCUUGUGUUUGUUCUUUGCGCCUACAAGGAUGUGUUGUUUGGAUGACUGAUUUGCCUCCCCCUCUUGUGACUCACCCAACGAAUCCUCCACCCUCGAUACGGACUUUGAAGAACCGUGAUAGCCCCAUUUCUUCCCUUCCGCUGGCGUCGAGAUUUGAGUCUCUAGGUCUGCAAUUCCUUCCGCUGCCAAAAUCGUCGUACACGGAGUAGACCUCUUCUUCUCCUUCGUAACCUCAUACGAAAAAGAGGGGAGCACGGACGUUGCUCUGUUUCGUGCAUUGACUUGGUGUGAGGUGACUUUGUCAAUCCCACUAAGACCUCCCUGCUCUGAUUCGUCAAGAGAAAUGAAGUUUUCAGAUGUGGGCAACGAAGGCAAAUAAAAAUUUGCAGGCAAAAGAGUACAUUACAAGAAAACAAGCAAUUAGCUUCCAAUUUUUUGCGUGGGCCAUUUACGGACGCUACUAUCGUCGGUCAAAGUGGCAAAAAACCCACGCAACAAUCGCAUUCGACGCAAAACGGACGCACUUAUGGAUUUAAUUUUUUUUUAAAAAAGUCCAGUCUGCGUCGACUGCGGCCCACGCAUAUGCGUCCGCCGCGGCCAAGAUUUUAAAAUUAUUUAUUUAAAUUUAUUUAAUGUAUAACAAAUAUUUUAAUAUUUAAUUCUUUAUUGUAUUUAUUUUAAAAUUAUUUCUUUAAUAUUAUAAUAAAUUAUUUAAUUUAUCAAUUUUUAAUAUAAAUUAGUUAAAUUAAAUUUAUUAAAUUAAUUAAGUGUUUGAUUUAAAAUUAAUUGAGUAAAAGAAAAUAUGUAUUUAAAUUAUUUAAAUGUUAUAUAAAAUAUUUUAUUAUUUUAAAGAUUAUUUAUUUUAAAUUUAUUUUAUUUAUAUAUUGUCAUAAAUAUUUUAUUUUUGAAAUUAUGAUAUAAAUUAGUUAGAUUAAAUUUAUUAAAUUGAUGAAGUGUUUAAUUUUGAAAUCAUUUAAAAGAAGUUAUCUUAAAAAGUUUAUAAAGAUUUGAAUGUAUUUGUGGAUGUAUUGUGAAUGAUAAUAAUUUGUCUGAAUGUGAUUUGGUUGGUAUUUCUUCUUUACAGGUAUCUUAGCUAUUUAUAGGUAAAUUGGCUAGAAAACAAAAUAAAUUUGUUUUUUUUUCUUCCCUUUAUGCGUCAGCCACCGCCGGCCCAUGCUAGCUUUUUUUUAAAUAUGCGUCGGCUUUUGCGUGGCCCUAGCCCACGCAACAUCUGAUAAAUUAUGCUUCCGUCUGGCCCGCGCUAGUUUACAUUUGCUUCCCAGUUUUUUUCGUCGAUACUCGGGCGCACGAAAAUCUGACGUAUAAGCGUCCGUUUUUUACCCACGCAGAAUGCUUGUUUUCUUGUAGUGGUAGCUCUCACUUUAAAAGCACUAAGACAUUAAUAGAAUCACAUUCAUUCUUACAAAUUUUUUGUAAUGACCAUUAUUCACCAUAGCCAUAUCACUCUCAACAACAUUCCAGUUCUCCUUUGUUGAGUUCAGAUCAUUUAAGCCAUGGAUUUGUUUAUCCAUUUUCAAUGUUGACAUAUUUUAUACCAAAAAAUGGAGUACAAAAUUCCACAAAGAAAGACAAUGACAGAAUAUAACUCAAUGAAUUCAAAAAGCAAUGAAGAUAUAUACAGUGCGAUGCCACAAACUUAUACGUAAAGAUUAAUCCAUUCAUAAUACAGGUCAUAUUUCUUUCUAAGAUGACACUGGUUUUGGAUAACAUGCAACCACAAAUUGACAGAAGUGGUUGUUUUUUAUCAGUGAAAAAACACUUUUUCUUACUUUUUUCACUAAUUAAGCCAUUUUGAAACACAACUACGCACCAAUAUAGGAUUGGUAAGCUGCAUAUUUCUGUAAAGCAUAGUUUCAGAAUGCAUUAAACGAUGAUGGUUUUGAGAUUUACUUCCCAUGUCUCAGACUAUUUUUAACACUAUUCGGGCAAUGAAGCAAGGCAAACAUGUGGAUUUAGUCCAAUGCUUUUUUUGCUACCUCAGUAUUUCUGUGUAAUGGUAGCUUUGUAAUUGCGUUGACUUAAUGAAAACCAUUUUUGAUGCAGCACAUCAGGUGCCUUAAAUAGCUAUGAUAUAUAUUUAAGGCAAUUUGCACAAAGUUCUAACAGUAUUUGUAUGCUGUAAUUAACUUUAUGUAACAAACAUUGGAAGUGUUUUAGGGUUUGCUUUAUUGCUUUUUUUUUAGGUAUAAAGUUAUUUUUAAUUUGCAUAAAUAUUUACUGUGGUAUAAGAGGUUUAAUUUAAAUCAGAUUACACAAUGCAUUGCUUUCCCAGUAUUAUAAAAACUGUUAAUUUGCUUAUUACAUUUGUCCUUAGUUCAUCACUCAUUAUUGUAAUUUUUUUUAAUCUAUAUGUAUAUGUUGCCUAUAUUAGUAACUAUUUAAUGUCACAAAAGAGGUUGAAUGCAAAACAGAUUACACUCUCAUCUGCUUUACUACUAUAUUAAAUAUAUACUGUUUAGUUAAUUUCAUUUGUGUUUGGAACCUCACUGUCCAUUUCAAUAUUCAAUGCAGUGUAGGCUUUUGAUUCCUCUUAUAGAGUUUGAUUUAUAUUUGUUUUUACUUUAUGUUCAGUUUGAUGUCUACACUUUGAUACCUACUUCAAUUGCUUUACAUAAAGCUUGAACAUAGUAAAUCUCAUUUCAAUCAAAAUAUUCAUGGUCGCAUCAGAUGUUAUUUACACAAAUCCAUAUUUGUUUGAUCCAACAAUACAAAAUGUGAAAUUAGACAAAUAGAAACUACUAAAGUAUACUAGAAAUUCCAAAAUAAAUUUAAAGUAUUAUGCUUUCUAAUUUCUUGUUUAAGCUCUGUAAGCUUCCUGGUAAAUCUUCCUUUGAAAAUUUUCUUUAUUUUUUCAUCCUUUUUCUCUUUUGCCAUAUCCCUUGUAAUAAGAAGUCCUUGAGAAGGAUCUUCUCCUUCCAACCUCUCAUCUUCUCCUUGAAGUGCUUCCUCUUCAUAUGAUCUUGAGACUCUAUGAUAAGGUAAUGCACGUGUAUGGAGUUAUAAGAAUUUGUAUAUGUUUUGGUAAAUUAGACCAACAUGUUACCCACUAGUUAACUAGUAAUGCCUAGGAACUACACCUGCUAAAAUUCCAUUGAUAUUUAUCACAACAAACUAGUACAUUUCUUCAAAAUACAAAAUAUAUCCCACACUAUAUCUACUUCUUUUCUCUAAUCACAUUAUGAGAAUGACCUAUAAUCCCAUGAAAUACAGUUUACUUAGGAGAAAUGCUUUGAGGUUGAUUUUAGUUGCGAAGCAUGUGAUUAAACUCUUUGGUAAACCUCUCCAUAGCUUCAGCAGGCAAGCUAAUCGGAAAUAUUAUUCCUUCUUCUCCUUUUCCAUUCUUAGCAGAACAGAAAUAAGAUGCCCCUGGAAAGCUUCCAGCCCCAGCUUCGGCCACUCCACCAUACACAGCCUCACCCCACCCAAAAUCCAUGGCUCUAAAUUUCACUUGUACCAAAUAUGACACAAUACAAGACCUCACAGUUGUGAAUAAUAAGCUUCGUUCCUUCAUCACCAUCAAGUCGGCAACAGAUUGCAAGUACUCUUCUUUCAUCUCACCUUUCACUUUAUUUAUUAACUCCACUGCAUACCCAAAUGGGUUUUGGCAAAGCUUCCCUGCACUCGUUACUGCCGCCGGAUAUGCAAAAGCAUUGCCGUAGUAACCAACUGGUAGUGGAGGAUUGAAUCGACCACGUGCGUUAACUAUGCACAUCAUGCGAACAUCCUCAUUUGCCUCUAUCUGCAUUGCUUUUGUGCGACAUCGCCAAAGACAUGCUGUGAUAAGAUCAAAUGUGGAGCAAUGUUGAAGGUGUUGGGGAAUGGAUUUGCGAAGUGCAGCUAUGUCGAGGCGUCCAAAGAAGAAUGAUCGUUGAAUCAAGUUGUGGUUGGAAGAAGGGAGGGUAUCUUGGAUUUGCUCGUAUUCAGGAUGGUUGCGUGUAAUGCGAGGUGGAUCUCUUGCCAUUAGGAGCUCCCUACGCCAUACUGGUGCAAUGGAAGGUUUGGUUGCUCCUCUAGCCAUUUCGACCCAAGCGUUCAUGAAUUGUUGGUAACCAAAACCAUCAGCCAUGGUGUGGCUAAAGCGGAGAGCCAAGAUGAAACCACCACACUUGAGUCGUGUCACCUGCAUUUAUAUUCCAUCUUCAACAAUUCAGACAAUUUCAUUGUUUAACUCUCACAUUAAUUACGAAAUUAUAAUAUAUAUAUAUAUAUAUUUAAGAUAUCAAAACUUUAUUUUAAAUUGAGUAACUUAAGAGAAAUUAGCUAAAAUGAAAAAGUAACCGGAAUAAUUUCAAUAUAUGUCAAUUUAAUUAUUUAAUUUUAGUAAACUAAACACUUGUGCACGUGAUUUUAGUGAUUUUUUAUUUUGAAAAAUAAGUGAAUAAUAGAUAUUUUGAGUUGUUUUUAUAUUUUACUUUUUUAAAAAAACAAAUUUCAAAUGGUAGAUUUUGACAGAAUUUAAUUGGGGAGUAACAAAUAAUUAUAUCAGAAUUCAGUUCUUAAAAUUAAAAAAAAAAUCUAGAAAAUGAAUAAAACAUGUCUUAGUUUGAUGAGUAUGUGUAGUGAACCUGUACGAGUAGAAGGGGAGUUUCGGUAAUUUGUUGUGAGCAAGGAACAUCGUACAUCAGUUCAUGGAAGCAUGGGAAUGGAGGCUGGAGAGAAUCACCAAACUCAGCCAGUGUGACGUCAGCAUCAGCCUCGAUGAACAUGGCUCCUUCUCCAGUGCAAUCCACCAUUAAUUUGCGUUGAGGUCCUUCCCUAAGCCUACCUGCAAAUGGGUAAUAGAAGACAAGUGUUUGCGACAGUGCUUGCCGAAUCACUUCAACUGGGUCUUUCUCUGCCAUUGAUUCCUGCUUUCCAUAAAUUUGUAUCAUUGGAAUGUGGAAACGCAGGGCUUCUUGAUCAUCAAUGUCGGAAAGUAGCUUGAGUUCAUGAGGAGUGGGGAUAGCAGGAGCCACCAGCUGAGGUUCGCACCUUCGCACUGUAAACUUUAGAGAAGAAGAAGAGAAAGAAGAUGAUAAAGAUGAGGCCAUGAGAAUUAUGAGAGAAGAGAAGAGAAGAAAAAUGAAGCAAAUGGAUUUUGGUUGAGUGACUGUGAGUUCCUCGGACUUAGGCUGCAACCCUUUAUAGAUGGAAAUCAUUCUCAUCAAAUAAAUUCGAAACACGUUUUCAUGAUGAGCAAUAAUACUUUUUAUCUAGAUAAUCAUUCAUUAUAAGAUAUAGACAUUGAAGUGAAUUAUUAUUAUUAAACUAAAGUUUAUAAAUAUAAAUUAAAGUUAAACAUAAGUUUGCAUAUAAGAUUAUUUAUGAAAGGUCAGACAUCAAUACGAAAAUGGACCCAAAGUGUCGCACAGCCACAAUAUAACCUGACCUUAUCAAGUGCUUAUCUGAAAGAAAAAAAAGUUACUAAAAAAAACAUGUAGUCUGAUCACGGUGAAGGACGUAAAAAUUGUGUAAAAUUAAAAAAAGUUACAGUAAGUUGUCAGAGGUCGUGAAUUAAAUAGUUACAGUAAGUUGUUAUGUUGUUCUAAGUUUUAGAAGGUUAGGUUGUUUAGAAGGGAGGAACUCAUCAUCCACUUCUAUUCCUUUCUUGGAAAUAGAGAAUGAGGGACAGCCGUGAACGACGAUACUCCGGUGUAUGGCGACAAUGCCAAGGUGGAUGGAGGGAGGACCAACGGGGGAAGCGGAUCGUAGAGACAAACAAAGCGUCCUCAAACGAAAGCUCGACUUUUUUCUUCUCAAAUUUUCCAAGUACCCAUGGUGAGUAUGACAUGUUGAAGAUUUUUCAGAGAUGGGCUAGGGUGAAAGAGGUAUUCAUUUCCAAACAUAGAAAUAGGUGGGGAAGAAGGUUCGGGUUUGUGAGAUUCUUUAUGGUACCGAACGUGUUCAAACUAGAGAAGGAGUUGGAUCAGAUCUUCAUUGGUGAUAUGAAACUUUAUGUUAACUUGCCAAAAUAUAGGAGAUCUGAGCAUUUUCAACAAGGGGGGGCGCCACUUGCGGAAGGCAAGGAUAAGCACCAUGCUCAUAGACCAAAAGGGCAAUUGAGGGGCAAGGAAUGGAGAGUAGUAAAAGGGAAGGGUGGUAACAGGGACCAUCUAGUGAAGCAGUCGUAUGCUGAAGUUGUUAGGAAACAGUCACAAGACCAGUGGACGGGACCAAGUAUUGACACUACUUCAAAAGUUCUCCCAUGGAUGUCAUAUAGUGCAGUAGGUUGGAUGGUACCGGAUUUAAACUAUACGGCUCUGUGUGAAGAGUUUAUCAAAGGGGGUAUGGCUAUGAUUAAGGUGAGACCUAUGGGAGAUAACCUUGUUCUCUUGACUCCUAGGGAAGGUGAAAGCAUGGAAGAUAUUAUUAAGCUGAAUAAAAGUUGGUUUACAAGUGCCUUCGAGGAAAUUGAACCGUGGUCUACGUCAGUUGUAGCGACCCAUAGGCUGGUAUGGGCGAGGUGCUAUGGACUUCCUAUUUCACUAUGGAAUAAGGAUUGUUUAUCUAAGUUGGUCGAAGGCAUCAGUCAAUUUCUUUGGAGGGGUGAAUAUCGAUCUCAUAAAUGGGGCUUUAUGCCCAGUUCGUUCCUUUCGCGAGUGCGCGGACAAAGGGGGACCUUCUAUCUGUCUGCAACAUAAUCAUAUUGGAUUACCAGGAGAAUCAAGUAGUGUGGACAGUUCAACGCCGAAAAAGAAAGAAGAAUUUGAUGAUAAAAUUAACUCAAGGGCAGAAGCAGAAUCCAAUACACCAGAGAGUGUGCGUAGACUCCGAAACCUGUGGGAGCAGGGCACGAAACAGUCCUGUGUGCGAUGGAGAUCGAAGGGAGGUUUAGGACCACUACAUUAUGGCGUCAAUUCUUCAUCUAGGUUAAGUCGCUGCUCCUUUGCUGAAUCUGAAAGUGACAUUGAACUUUGUAAUAAUAGAUUGAGAAUUGAGGAUACUGUUGAUGAGCCAGUACAGAUUUGGGAUGCGGGCAAACGGUUAGGUUUGAGGUGUUCAGGGGAGGAGGUGAAUGUUGUAGUAGAACUGGAAUGUAUGGAAGUUAGGGACAAGGAAGUCAGAAAAUGUGCAGAGGAGGGCACCAACCCCGUUGGUUUAUGAUUAUUGUUGAUCUUAAUAUUAGGGGGUGGGGGGGGGGGGGUACCAAAACAAAUUAUCUGAAACAUUGUAUUACUAAGGAGAAUGCGGAAUUUGUGUGUUUGCAGGAGACAAAAACUACGACUUUCUCAGAUAUUAGAUGUUUCUCACUUUGGGGAACAAUAAUAUUGGUUGGAUACAUUAUGAAGGCAAUAAUGGAGCUGGGAGUAUGAUCUCCAUGUGGCAGAAAGAUAAAUUUUGCUAUGAGACGCAUGUUGUGGGGACUGGAUUCAUUGCGGUAGUAGGUCAACAUAUUCAUUCUGGUCACAGGUGCUUCGUGGUUAAUGUUUAUGCAGCUUGUAAUCUUAGAGCAAAAAUAACUUUAUGGGAAGAUUUAUCGUCUUUCAGGCGGACCUAUCAGAACAUGGCUGGUUGUUAUUGUGGAGACUUUAAUGCUGUAAGAAGGGAAGAUGAAAGGAAAGGUAUUGGUAGGGGAACCAGCCAGAGGAAGGAGAUGAGUGGCUUUAAUGACUUUAUUGACACAAACUGCUUGGUGGACAUACCAACUGCAGGCAAAAAGUUUACUUGGUUCAAACCAAAUGGUACUGCUAAAAGUAGGUUGGAUAGAUUUCUUGUGUCUGAAGAGUGGAUUCAGUUUUGGCCUUUCUACAAGCAAUAUGUGCAGCAAAGAACUGUGUCCGAUCACUGUGCUAUUGUGGCGAAAUCUUGGGUUAAAGAUAGGGGUCCUAAACCCUUUCGUUCGAUCGAUGCUUGGUUUUUGGAGCCAGGAUUCAAGGCGUAUGUACAAGAGAAAUGGGGCUCAUACAAUAGCCAGGGUAACAACAUAUCUAGCUUCAAGGACAAACUAAAAUUGCUGAAGGCUGAUUUGAAAGUGUGGAAUAUGAAAGUGUUCGGGUGUUUACAGACAAAUCAAAGGCAAAUCCUGAAGGAAAUUGAGAACAUUGACGUUAAGGAUGAUAAUGAAGGUCUAGAGGAGCAUGAUCGACUAAAACGAUUGGAGUUACUGAGUCAGCUACGAUUGGUUGAUAGUAAGAUGGAUUCUCUUUCAAGGCAGAAAGCAAGAGCAAAUUGGUGUAAGUUUGGGGACAUAAACUCCAGAUUUUAUCAUACAACUAUCAGAUGGAGAAGACUGAAGAACGAAGUUAAAGGAGUGGAAGUUGGGGGGCAAUGGUGUGAAGAACCGGAAGUGGUUAGAAGGGAAGCAAAGUCUUUGUUUGAAAAAAGGUUCACAGCUACACAAGAUUCUGGAGUUAAUCUGAGAUCUGUGGAGUUUAAAUGCCUUCCCCAAGAAAUCAGCAUAAGCAUGGUUGCAAGUUUCACAGAGGAAGAAGUAAAAGAAGCAGUGUGUCAAUGUGAAGGAACAAAGAGUCCAGGCCUGGAUGGAUUCAAUUUCACGUUUAUUAGGAAUUGCUGGGAUUGCCUUAAAAGUGACAUUAUGGAAGCUUUGCACUUGUUCCAUGAAAAUGGAGUUAUACCAAAGGAUUGUAAUGCCUCUUUUAUAGCCCUGAUACCUAAAGUGCCUGAUCCCUUAUCUUUAGACCAGUUUAGGCCCAUUUCCCUGGUAGGCACUUUUUAUAAGAUCGUCUCUAAGGUCCAAGCGGGACGUAUGAAGGGUGUUCUUCCUUUGGUUAUUGAUGAAAACCAAUUAGCUUUUUUGAAGAACAGAGGUCUGCUUGAUAGUGUACUCAUGGCAAAUGAGGUGGUGGAGGAGGUUAGGAGGAACCGGAGAAGUGCACUCUGCUUUAAAGUGGACUAUGAAAAGGCAUAUGAUUCUGUAAGGUGGAACUUCUUAUACGACAUGUUACAAAGGCUAGGCUUCCAUAGCAAUUGGGUGAGGUGGGUUAGAGGGUGCUUGGAAUCGGCUUCCAUUUCGGUGCUUGUCAAUGGAAGCCCAACAGAGGAAUUUAUCCCGUCAAGAGGGCUGAGACAGGGUGAUCUUAUGGCUCCUUUUUUGUUUCUCGUGGUUGCUGAAGGUUUGGCUGGGCUUGUGAGACAAGCGACUAAGCUAAAAAUGUUAACAGGCGUGAAGGUGGGAAGGAAGGAAAUAGAGUGCAGCAUGCUCCAAUUCGCAGACGACACUUUGCUCAUGUGUGAGGAUAAUUUUUCAAAUGUGUUCACGAUAAAGACGAUCCUAAGAUGUUUUCAACUAGUCUCAGGUUUGAAAAUUAAUUUUCAUAAGUCCAAAUUGGCAGGGAUAAAUGUGGAUAGGUUCACUCUGGAAACUUAUGCCAAGUCUCUCAAUUGUUUUACAAUGCGCAUGCCUUUCAAGUACUUGGGGUUAGAAGUAGGAGGGAACCCAAGGAAGGUACAGUUCUGGGAACCGGUUGUCAAUAAGGUCAGAGCUAGGCUUAGCACUUGGAAAGGGAGGCGCUUAUCUAUGGCGGGUAGGAUUUGCCUGAUCAAAUCUGUGUUCACAUCUAUUCCCCUUUUCUACUUAUCUUUCUUUAAAGCUCCGAUCUCGAUCUGUAAUACAAUCACGAGCAUCCAAAGGAGUUUUCUGUGGGCCUGGGGUAGAGAUAAUAAAUCUAUACCUUGGGUAAGUUGGGGGAAAAUUUGUAAACCUUUUGAGGAAGGUGGUCUGCGUAUCAAGGAUAUCAGGAAAUUCAACUAUGCGUUGAUGGCGAAAUGGAAAUGGAGGCUAAUGAGUGAUGAGAAGGGGAAAUGGAAAGAUAUUUUGGAGUCCAAAUAUAUGGUCACUCUUGGUGGUGGAGAGACUUAGAAAAAAUAUGUAGGGAGGGUAAUGGUGUAGGCUGGUUUCAACAAGCUGUUAAAUGGAAUGUCAGAUCUGGGGACUUAGUUCGUUUAUGGGAGGAUCCUUGGAUUAAUGACAAUAAACUCAAGGAUUUAUUUCCUAGGUUAUACUCUAUUUCGCUGAAUCAAGGGAUGACGGUGGGUGAAACUGGUUAUUGGGAUGAUCAUGGGUGGACCUGACAUUUGAACUGGAGAAGGGAGAGAUUUUGCUGGGAGUCGGAUGUGGAGGAAUAAUUAUUAACAAUUCUAGCCAGGGAAGUUUUGGUUAAGGAUGCUAAAGAUUUUAUUACUUGGAGUGGGGAUUCCAAGGGGUUAUUCUCGGUAAAAUCAGCAUAUGGUCUCUUAACCAAUCAGGUUUCUGAACCGAGUAAUGCUGUUUUUAGUCUGUUAUGGAGGACCAAAGCUGUCCCAAAAGUGUUAACCACGGCCUGGAGAAUCUUGCUGGACAGAAUUCCGACUUAUCAUAAUCUUGUGGUACGAGGAAUAGUGGUGAAUUCACCUCUGUGUGUAUUCUGUAACUUGCAAGUUGAAUCCACACAACAUUUGUUUUUGUAUUGUGCUUUUGCUUACUGUGUAUGGAUGAUGUGCUACCAAUGGAUAGGUGUAGUGGGAACACAAAAUAGGGACAUUUGUAAUCACUUUCUGAACUUUCACUUAACUAAUAUGUCUGAAAAACAGAAUCAGGUCUGGAGGGGAGUGUGGGUGGCCAUCACACGAAGCAUAUGGGAGCAUAGGAAUAAUGUUAUCUUCAGACAAGAAGUUCCCGAUCCCGAAGAAACUCUACAAGCAGCUCAACUUAUAGUUUGGCUAUGGCUAAAACAUAAGGAAAGCUCGUUCUCAUAUUCUUUCUCUGAUUGGAUCCUUAACCCAUUUCAAUGUCUAUUGAGUGUUUGUUAAAUAGGGGAGGGAUGGUGUAUGCUAGUAUUUAUACACUAUUGUGGGGCUGGUUUGUGGCAGGUUUAGGGUAGUUGGUGGUCGCCGAAGGUAUGCAUCAUCGCCGUUUUUGAAGAAGGCCAACAUGAACGCCGGACGAUAAAGAGGCGUUCUCCAUGCCUGCGUAGUCGGUGGUCGUCGAAGUGGUGCAUCAUCGCCGUCUUUGAAGAACAGAAGUUCAUUUGAAGUGAGGGGCGAUGUGGAUGAGGACACGUGGAAGGCCAAUAUGAUCGCCAGUCGAUAAAGCGGCGCUCUCCAUUCGUGCGUAGUUGGUGGUCGUCGAAGGUAUGCAUCAUCACCGUGUUGAAGAAGGCCAACAUGAUCGCCGGUCGAUGUGGCGGCGAUCUCCGUGCGUGCAUAGUCGGUGGUCGCCGAAGCUGUGCAUCAUCGUUGUCUUAGAAGAACAGAAGUUCAGAUAUUGGAAGUGAGGGGCGAUGUGGAUGAGGACACGUGGAAGGCUAGUAUUAUCGUCGGUCGAUAAAGCGGCGCUUUCCAUGCGUGCGUAGUCGGUGGUCGCCGAAGGUAUGCAUCAUCGCCGUUUUUGAAGAAAGCCAACAUGAUCGCCGGACGAUAAAGAGGCGUUCUCCAUGCGCGCGCGUAGUCGGUGGUCGCCGAAGUGAAGCGGCGAUCUCCGUGCGUGCGUAGGCAGUGGUCGCCGAAGUUAUGUAUCAUCGCCGUACUUGAAGAACAGAAGAUCAGAUAGCCGGAAAUCGUCGUGGUAGGCACAUCGCCGGGUUUCCAGAAAGCUUAAUUGAAGCUGUUAGAGGUUUACGUAUAAAACUGAAGACCUAGGCAGGAGGUAUUUUAUGUUCACUGUCAUAGGAGGUUGAGAGAGGCAGCACUAGCCAUUGGGUGUGGAGGUUGCGGAAAGUCACUCUCCAAGUACCAUUCAACAUGGUGGGAGGACCUAAUGGUGUUAUGGUGGUGUGAAAUUGUUGUUUAGUGUUUUGAAACAGUCCAACAUUACAAUAGUAGUAGAAUGGAGCAGUUUUUAUGAUAUAUCUUUUUAUCCCUUGUUUUGGGAUACCUCGUGGAGGUCCUAAAAAACAGGGUUUGGGUUUUGUAAAGGGUUGGAAUACCCCUUUUGUAUCCCCUUAAUUUAAUUUAAUUCUUUGCUGAUAAAAAAUAAAAAAAAUAAUAAAAAUAAAAAUAAUCUUGAUCUUGAUCUUAGAAAUUAAUUUAUAUUUAAAUUAACAUUUUAAUAUAAUAUUAGUUAUGUAAUUUUCCUAUAAAAUCACUUGGUUGAUACACGAUAUUAGAGUUGAACUCAAUACCAAAUAUCAAUUAUACAUGUUUGUUUUUUAAGAUAAUGACAAAUAGUUAAAAUUUGAUAUUAAAAUUUUGAUAUGUUGAGAGUUAUUUUUUUUUUCUUAAAAAAUAUUUUUGGUGUUCGAACUCUUGUACAAACUCAAAAAAAAAUCUGGAACAUGUAAAAAGAACAAUUAAUAUUAAAGCUGCAAUGUGAAGUCCCUAUUUAUCAAGACAUGACAGGAACUUAUCAAGAUUCUAAAAGCUGGAUCCCAAACACUCUUAAGAGUUAUCGAAAGAAUGUUAUCCACGAAAGAAAAAUGAUGAAUGUAUUUCUAUAAUUUGACAAUCAUCACGCGUGCCACAUUUAAUGAAAAGUGAUUUCUGACAGACGUACACCAAUACAACUAGUAUUCCCUACCGUGGUGUUCGUACUAUGAAACCUUAAAAUUCAACCAAAAAUAUCAACACUUAAACUUUCAGUUUAAAAGUGCGAGAAAAUUUGAAAAAAGAUUAUUUUAAUAAAUUAAUCUUUUAUAAUAUAAUUUUCUUUCAUUAAUAAUUACAUUUUGUAAAUAAAUAAUUAAGACAAAUAUUAUAAUAAAAAAUAAAUAUUAAUAUUUUAUUUUAAUAAUAAAUUGAAAAUUUAUUUUAUUUAAAUUAAUUUAUUAUCAUUUUAAAAUAUAAUUUUUUAUAUAUUAAAAUAUAUAAUAAUUUAUUCUUUUAAUUUAAAUUUUAUUUACAUUUUAAAAAUUACUUUUUAUAUUAAAUUUUAUUACAAAAAUCAUUUUUAUCAAUUAAAAUUUUAACUAUAUCCAUCACAUCACUCUCGUAAACUUUCAUAAAGUUUUCUUUCAUUUUCAUAAUUUAUCUUAAUCUAAACAACCUUACUUUCUUUACAUUUUUUUUUUCAAAUCCACUAUCUCAUCCAAACAAAGAAGUUCUACAAAUAUACUAUUCAUCAAAGAUGAAAAAGUGAAAGACACACAUGUUUUGAUCUAUUUAUUUACACUAAAAUAAGAGUGAGUAAUAAUGUAAAAAGUUAUUGUUCACACGCUCACUCAUUUGUAAAGAAAGACGAAAACCCUAUCCCUAAUGUUUAGCCCAAACACUAAUCUCUAACCCUAAUCACACCUUUAACCAUAACCCUACCCGUAACACAACCCCACAACCACCAAACCUACCAAGCAUCCCUUAAUUCUAAACAAUAAUCCAUAACCAUGAUGCAUAUACGAAUACGUAAAAACCUAAACAUACUAAAAUUAAUAUAAAUAGUAUAAGUAAAUAAACAAAUGGUUCAAGUAUCAAUAAAUUACAAAAUGAUUAACUUUUAGAUAAAUAAAUAACAAUAAACAGUUUUGUAAAAGAAAUAUUCAUCCCAAAAAGACGAAUAACUCAAAAACAAUUUUAUCUUUUUUGAAAUCAUUAACAUACAAAAAUUAUUCUAUUCCCUUCAAAUUUUGUUGAUUUAUUUAUUUUAAAUUUUGUUUACGCAGAACAUCAAAAUAUUUUAGAUUUGUAUUUAUUUAAGAUUUUGAAUAAGUUAAUAAUUUUAUUUAUUUAUGAUACUAAAUAUUUACGGUUUCUCUUUUUAUUUAGGAUUUUGAACAAAUUUAGGAAUUUAAUUUGUUUAUGAUUUUUAUUUAAUUUGAACAUUAAAUAAUUUUUAAAAAUUAGAAAUUUUAUUAAUUUUAAAUUUUUAUUUAAGAACGCAAUUAAAUAAUGACAUUAAAUAUUUAUGUUUUCUGUUUAUUUAGGAUUUUCUAUUAAUUUAAAAAUUUAAAUUAUUUCAUAUUUUUAUUUAAGUAAAAUAUUAAAUAAUUUAAGUUUAUUUAUUUAGGAUUUUGAAAAUAAAUAAAAAAAUAUUUAUUUUUUUAUAUUCUUUAAGUAGGAAAUACAAUAACUUAGAAUUUUGAAAAACUUAAAUUUUUUAUUAAUUUUAGAUUUUUAUUUAAGAAUGUAAUUAAAUAAAUUAGGAUGUUGUAUCUAUUUAGUAUAUUUAGUAUUUUGAAUACUUUAGAAAUUUUAUUAAUUUUUUAUUUUUUAUUUAAGAAUGAUAUUUUUUUUUUGGAUUUAUUAUAAUUUAGAAUUUUGAGAAACUUAUAAAUUUUAUUUAUUUUAGAUUUUUAUUUAACUGGAAAUACAAUAAUUUAAGGCUUUUAAAAACAUAGAAAUUUAUUUGGUUUAGAUUUUUAUUUAUGUAUGACAUAAAAUAAGUUAGGGUUUGUAUUUAUUUAGAAUUUUGAAUAACUUAGAAUUUUUUUUUAUUUCACACUUUUAAUUAAGUAGAACCUUAAAUAAGUUAAGAUUUGUAUUUAUUUAAAAGUUUGAAUAAUUUAGAAAUUUUAUUUAUUGAAAAUUUGUAGUUAAGUAAGAUAUUAAAUAAUUUUAAUUUGAAUUUAUUUAAGAUUUUGAAUAAUUUUAGAAUUUUAAUUAUUUUAUUUUUGUAUUUACGUAUGACAUAAUUAAUAAUUUAGGGUGUCUAUUUAUUUUUAGAUUUUAAAUAAUUUUGGAAUUUAAUUUAUUUCAUAUUUUUAUUAAAGUAGAACAUUAAAUAAUUUAGGUUAUGUAUUUAUUUAGGAUUUUGAAAAUUUUAAAAGUAUUAUUUAUUUUAGAUUAUUAUUUAAGUAUAAAAUUUAGGAUUUGUAUUUAUUUAGAAAUUUGAAAAGUUAGAAAUUUUAUUAAUUUUAGAUUUUUUUUUAUAAAAAUGACAUUAAAUAAUUUAGGAUAUGGAUUUAUUUAAAAUUUUGAAUAAUUUAGGAAUUUUAUUGUUUUCAAUUUUUGUUUAAGAAUGACACUACAAAGUUUAGGAUUUUUAUUUAUUUAGAAUAAUAAAAAACUUAGAAUUUUAAUUUAUUUUAUAUUUUUUUUAUUUAAGUAGGAAAUAAAAUAAUUUCAGAUCUUGUAUUUAUUUUGGAUUUUAAAUUUUUAAAAAAAAUAAUAUUUAAGAUUUGUUUUAAAGUAUUUAAAUAAAAAAUAAAAUAAUUUAAUAUUUUGUAUUUAUUUAGAAUUUUGAAAAACUUAUAAAUUUUAGGUUAUGAUUUAUGUGUAUUUGAAUUUUGAAUAAUUUAAAAAUUUACUUUAUUUUAGAUUUUAAUUUAAGUAGGACAUUUAAUAGUUUAGAAUUUGUAUUUAGUAAGAUUUUAAAUAAUUUAAGAAUUUAUUUAAGAUAUUUUAUAUAAGUAUGACAUUAAAGAAUUUUAGGAUUUGUAUUUGUUUAGAUUUUUGAAUAAUUUAGAAAUGUUAUUGCAAAUUUUUAUUUAAAUAUGACAUUCAUUUAUUUAGGAUUUCUAUUUGUUUAGAAUUUUGAAUAAUUUAGAAAUUUUAUCUAUUGGAAGUUUUUAUUUUUAUUUAAGUAGGACAUUAAAUAAUUAUUUAUUUUUAUUUAAGAAUAAUAUUAAAUAAUUUAGGAUAUGUAUUUAUUUAUAGUUUUGAAUAAUUUAUUAAAUAGGUUCCUGUAUGUAAAGAACCUACCUUCACUAACCUUCCAUUACUGACGGAACCAAGGAUGAUAAUAAAGACUUCCCUGGUGGUGUCUGGACUGUGUUUUGAAUAAUCGGUUGGUUACCUCCCAGAGAAAAUACUAAGUAAGUUUACCUUCCUCUUUAAUUUUUCCUUCCUUAAAAGGUUGCUUUUAAACACAUGGUAGUAGUUGAAAGUAUUCAACCAUGCUUGUGACAAUUUGUUAAUGUAGCAUAAUUUCCUAAUUCUGAUGAUUAAUAUUUUUAAUCACAUGAUAAAAAUAUGAUGGUACCUAACAUUGCUUUUGUAAAUCACAUCAAUUGAUAUAUGUUCAAGAAGUCAAAGGAAUUAAUCUUUCUAUUAAUUAUGUGUAGGAUGAUAAUACGGGCAUGUUAUGUGAGCUGGCUGCAGUCCGCUAAAAAAAAAAAAAAUACGGGAUGAGUUAAUAAUUUAGCCUUUUGACUUAUUUAGAUCCGUCUCGCAUAACUUGCAGUUUACACGGGUCAACGUGACGCGGGUUGGCUGACCCGCGUAAAUAAAAAAAAUUAUUUUAGUUUUUUAAAUAAAUAAAUUAUACCUCAGUCACUUAUUAUUACAGCGUGACCUUUAUUUUAUUUUAUAAAAAUUAAAUUUAAUGUAAAAAGAGAAUAUUUUAGUUUAAUCAUUUAAGUAAGUUAAUAUUAAGAGUGACAAAACUUUAAUUAUUUUUAAUCAAACCUUAUAACAACUCUCGUACUUGAAUUUCUUUAUAUUUUAAUCUUAACCGAAUGAAUUGAAAUAUGUAUUAAAUUUUAAUUUUUCAGAAGGAAAAAUAUAGUUUUUUAUAAGUACUAAAAUUUUAAUUUUUUUUAUGCAGGCUGGCCCACAGACUACCUCUUAUGUAGGGCGGACAAGUAAAAUAAAUCUACAUUUUUUGUGCAAGGCGGACCAACUCAACCUGUGUUUUGUGGGCUAAACGUGAGAUGGAUCAUAACAGAACAUGUCAACCCACAUUGUCAUCCUUAAUAAUUAUGUGAUAUCUAUACACUUGGAAGCAUGAUAUACUCAACAAUACAUAUUUUCUACUUCUUGGGUUUAUUGGCAUGAUAAUGUUAAAUUAUUUUCUUAUUUUACAGAUAUAGAUUAGCAAUGGUCAUGUCUAUGAAUAUGAAUCGGCACCGCAGAUGCUGUUUCUAUUUGCAACCUUGUGAAGGCUCUUCAGUCCAGAUCCUCGCACAAGGGAAGCUAAGUUCCCCACGUAUAUUAAGAAUUCGCAAAGUAAAAGCUUUUAUGUUUAUAUUACUUGACAAUUGGUGCUGAUAAUUGCAUUAAUAAUAUUUGGAUUUGUUGUUAAGAUGCCUUACUCAUGAUUUCCAAAAAUAUUAAGAAAAUUGUAUAUAAGAAGAUGGUAAAAAAAAUUGAGAUAAUUUUAUUUUUUUAUGGAUUGAAAAUAUAUGCAAGUGUACGAAAAUUUUCUCUUUUCAAAUAAGUAGUAAUUAGUAAAUAUUGUUCAUGAAUCAUAAUAAACACUAACAUAAUUAACAAGUAAAGUAAACAUGAAUACAAUAUAUAAUGUGUUACCUUUUAUUGGAAAUAGCCACUACAACUUUACUUAUUUUUUUUGAAUUUUUUUUUUAGUUAUUGUUCUAACACGAUUUCAACCUCUUGGUUUAUUUUUGGUAAAAUUGUGCUAUGAAACAUGUUUUAGAUUUGAAUUUAUUUAUUUUUAUUUAAUCAACACGAUUUUUUAAAACAUUUUUACAUGUUUUUGUAGAAAUUGUUAGUUGGGAACAUGACCUAACCUUAAUUAUUUUUUGUUUGUUAAAAUAUCUACUUUCAAGCACGUUUUCAACUUUAAUUUUUCCUUUUUUCUUUUUAUUUUACAUUUCUUUUGUUUUAUACCUAAAUGAUUUUUAGUUUUCUGAAAAAAAUUAUUUAAUGGUUUUUAUUUUUUUUUUUACUUUAUUUUUGUCAAUUGUUUCUUAUUUAAUGCAUUUUUUUAUUAAGUUAAAUAUUUGUGUGACAAUCCAAAGAUAUUUUUAUUAACAUUUGUAAUUGGAGAAAGAAAACUUUGAUUUGGUUUUUUCAAUUAUUGUUAAUAUGUUACACGCAAUCAAAUUUAGGCUUAAUAACAAAUAAAAGACCAACUAUCUUAUUAACAUUUGUAAUUGGACAAAGAAAACUUUGAUUUGGUUUUUUCAAUUAUUGUUAAUAUGUUACACGCAAUCAAAUUUAGGCUUAAUAACAAAUAAAAGACCAACUAUCUUAUUAACAUUUGUAAUUGGACAAAGAACACUUUGAUUUGGUUUUUUCAAUUAUUGUUAAUACGUUACACGCAAUCAAAUUUAGGCUUAAUAACAAAUAAAAGACCAACUAUCUUAUUAGCACUACAUUCUUGAAGAAGUUGGUCGAAAGACAUAGGGUUUACUCUUAGUAUAUUGCAUAUAAUAUAUUUCAUCCAACUUCAACUAAAAUAUCAGAGUUCAAUAGUUGAUUAACAUAAUUAUUACGAAGUGGAUUUUAAGCCUAACUCAACCCCAUAAAACCGGCUUUAAUCUCUAGUCGGUGUGGGAUCUCCAACACACCCCCCUCACGUCGAGACUACCUACUCGUGCGUGAGACUAUAUAUUAUGGGUGGGUCCGAUAGCGGGUGGCCUGAUAAGCCCAACAAAUACUCUUGCUAGGAUAGACUCGUAAUGGCUCUGAUACCAUAUUACGAAGUGGAUUUUAAGCCUAACUCAACCCCAUAAAACCGGCUCUAAUCUCUAGUCGGUGUGGGAUCUCCAACAAUAAUUAUUGAUAUUCUUCGAUUUUAGUUACAAAUUACUUCACUAUCAUGUAAAGAUUACAUUAUAUAAUUUGCAAAAUUGUUAUAGGUUACAAAAGGAAUAAGAGGAUCUUAAAGAAGGAACGCAUAGAUCAUAUAUAAAUUUUCACAAUAUUGUUGCAGCUACAAGUCUAGUCAUGGGUCACUUCAAAAGUACGCUUAGCGAGCUUUUCCUACUCUAAUUAGUGUCUUGAACCUCUGGUUUGCAUGAGAUCAAUCAAAAUUAGGAAAGGCUAGAGGGGGGAGGUUGGGUAGAGACGGUUCGUUCCUAGUUAGGGGGUGUUGUUUUUGUUUCUAGGUAGCAUUACAUGUGAUUGGCAGAUGGAUGUCACUCUUUUCGUAUAAGGGUUGAGAUAUUCCUGAAAUACCUCCAUUUAUUCUAUUCUUUUUUUGUCGAUAAAAAAAAUGAAACAACUUAUAGUUCAAGAAGUGUUGAAGAUCUCACAUUGACUAAAGAUAAUAACAUUUUACCAUAUAUAAGUGGAUGUAAACCUCAUUUUUUAAAUUGGUUUUAUAAGGUUGAGUUCUCUAGUUGUUAAUAAGUUGUUUCAUGGACAAAUCAAAUACCAAUGAAGAAGUUAAAAAAAAAAUUAAUUAUAAAUUAACAAUUUAACAAAACAAAAUGGUAUUGAGAAACAGAUUUUCAACAUUACAAAUUUCUACCACCAAACACUCAUUUUAUAAGUAUUAACUAGGAACUACACAUGCUUAAAUUCCAUUAAUAUUUAUCACAAUAAACUAUAAAAAAAAAAAACCCUUUCAUAAUAAAGUAUAUAUCACACAUUAUAUCUACUUUAUUUUCUCCGAUAACAUUAUGAGAAUGACCUACAAUCCCACGAAAUACAAUUUACAAGGUAGACGUUAUAAAAUUAGCAAAAGUGCUUUGAGGUUGGUUUUGGUUGCGAAGCAUGUGAUUAAACUCCUUCGCAAACCUCUCCAUAGCUUCAGCAGGCAAGCUAAUCGGAAAUAUUAUUCCUUCUUCUCCUUUUCCAUUCUUAGCAGAACAGAAAUAAGAUGCCCCUGGAAAGCUUCCAGCCCCAGCUUCGGCCACUCCACCAUACACAGCCUCACCCCACCCAAAAUCCAUGGCUCUAAAUUUCACUUGUACCAAAUAUGACACAAUACAAGACCUCACAGUUGUGAAUAAUAAGCUUCGUUCCUUCAUCACCAUCAAGUCGGCAACAGAUUGCAAGUACUCUUCUUUCAUCUCACCUUUCACUUUAUUUAUUAACUCCACUGCAUACCCAAAUGGGUUUUGGCAAAGCUUCCCUGCACUCGUUACUGCCGCCGGAUAUGCAAAAGCAUUGCCGUAGUAACCAACUGGUAGUGGAGGAUUGAACCGACCACGUGCGUUAACUAUGCACAUCAUGCGAACAUCCUCAUUCGCCUCUAUCUGCAUUGCUUUUGUGCGACAUCGCCAAAGACAUGCUGCGAUAAGAUCAAAUGUGGAGCAAUGUUGAAGGUGUUGGGGAAUGAAUUUGCGAAGUGCAGCUAUGUCGAGGCGUCCAAAGAAGAAUGAUCGUUGAAUCAAGUUGUGGUUGGAAGAAGGGAGGAUAUCUUGGAUUUGCUCGUAUUCGCGGUGGUUGCGUGUAAUGCGAGGUGGAUCUCUUGCCAUUAGGAGCUCCCUACGCCAUACUGGUGCAAUGGAAGGUUUUGUUGCUCCUCUAGCCAUUUCGGCCCAAGCGUUCAUGAAUUGUUGACAACCAAAAGCAUCAACCAUGGUGUGGUUAAAUUGGAGGGCUAAGAUGAAACCACCACACUUGAGUCGUGUCACCUGCAUUUAUAUUUCAUUUUCAACAAAUUAGACAAUUUCAUUGUUUAACUCUCACAUUUAUUAUGAAAUUCUAAUAUAUAUUUAAGAUAUCAUAAUUGAAAUUGUGUAACUUAAGAAAAAUGAGCUAAAAUGAAAAUGUGAUAUGUCAAUUUAAUUAUUUAAUUUUAGUAAACUAAGCACUUGUGCACGUGAUUUUAGUGAUUUUUUUUUAUUUUGAAGAAUAAGUGAAUAAUAGAUAAAAUAAGAUUUUAAAAUGCAAUUCACAGUAUUAAAAUAGGAGUUAGAGAUGACCUCAACCAUAAAUUGUUGCAUAUUUAUUUAAAUUAAAACGAAUUUAAAGAUUUUAAUAAAAAGUUAUAAUCUGGUUUUUGAUAUUCUAUUAGACAGGUAACAAUAAUACUUAUUAACAAAAAAAAAACUUAUUAACAAUAUUAUUGAAUUAAAAUAAUUUUGUAAUGUUAAAGUGAUAAAACAAAAGCUGAACUGCAAAUAACUACAACAAAAAAUUAACUUAAAAUUACUAAAACCAGUGGAAAGCCGUGAAUCUUACAUCUUAUAAAUUAAAACAAAUUUGUCAUGGAUUUUAGGUAACAGAUAUCACACAUAAAAUAAAAUUAAACAAAUGAUUAAUGAAUUAUAAAAACAAGAAUCAAAAGUGUUCUUCCAAUACAUUCGACAUAUACCUGAAAUAAAUAAAAAAUAUAAAAUGAAUAAAACGUGUCUUAGUUUGAUGAGUAUGUGUAGUGAACCUGUACGAGUAGAAGGGGAGUGUUGGUAAUUUGUUGUGAGCCAGGAACAUCGUACAGCAGUUCAUCAAAGCAUGGAAAUGGAGGUUGGAGAGAAUCACCAAACUCAGCCAGUGUGACGUCAGCAUCACCCUCCAUGAACAUGACACCUUCUCCAGUGCAAUCCACCAUUAGUUUGCGCUGAGGUCCCUCCCUAAGCCUACCCGCAAAUGGGUAAUAGAAGACAAGUGUUUGUGACAAUGCUUUCCGAAUCACUUCAACUGGGUCUUUCUCUGCCAUUGAUGCCUGCUUUCUAUAAAUUUGUAUCAUUGGAAUGUGGAAACGCAGGGCUUCUUGAUCAUCAAUGUCGGAAAGUAGCUUGAGUUCAUGAGGAGUGGGGAUAGCAGGAGCCACCAGCUGGGGUUGGGACCUUCGCACUGUAAACUUUAGAGAAGAAGAAGAAGAAGAUGAUGAUAAAGAUGAGGCCAUGAGAAUUAUGAGAGAAGAGAAGAGAAAUUAAGCAAGUGGAUUUUGGUUGAGUGAAUGUGAGUUCCUAGGGCUCAGCCUGCAACCCUUUAUAGAUGGAAAUCAUUCUCAUUAAAUAAAUACGAAACACGUUUUCAUGACGAGCAAUAAUACUUUCUAAGACUUCAAAACUAAAAGAUUAUUCAUAAUUUUUUUUAUGAAAUAAACAAUUUUAAAAUUAUAUUAACCUAAUUACAAUUAUAAACUGGGAAUUUUCAAUUUUCAGAUGACAAUAUUUUUCAAACUAACAAUAAUCUGAAAUGAAAGUGUAUUACUCUUGGAUGCAUAAUAAAUCUUUCUCUUUCAUGAUAACAUAAGAUAAACAAUACCGAAUAUUCUGAAUAUUAUAACUUAAGAACAAAAUAAUUUUUAACAAUGCUAUUUUAAUUCUUAAAAUUAAAAUAAUUUUAAUAGUAAAUUUGUCUCUUAUAAUUUAAUAGAGUAUUAUUACAAAGUGGACUUUAAGCCUAACUCAAUCCCAUAAAACUGGCUCAUAAGGUUGAGGUUUGCACCCACUUAUAUAUAAUGAAAGGCUCUAAUAUCUAGUCGAUGAGGGAUCUUCAACAAGUAUAAUUAUGACAUUAUUUAAGUUUUUAGUUGCUUAAAUAUUAAAAUAAAAUUUUAUUUUUUCAUGAUUAAAUUCAAAUUAUUUCAUGUAUCUAGAUAAUCAUUCAUUAUAAGAUAUAGACAUUGAAGUGUAUUAUUAUUAUUAAACUAAAGUUUAUAAAUAUAAAAUAAAGUUAAACAUAAGUUUGCAUAUAAGAUUAUUUAUGAAAGGUCAUACAUCAAUACGAAAAUGGACCCAAAGUGUCACACAGCCACAAUAUAACCUGACCUUAUCAAGUGCUUACCAGUCAAAGAAUAUUUGGUAUCCAUGGUUUUGCAUUUUUCAUAUUUUGUGUGUGUGGAAUCACAAUGGAAGAUCUUCUUUUUUAUUUAUUUUACUUCUGCAUAUUUACGUAUUCCUAUCUCUUUAAAUUGAAUUUUCUUUAUAUCAAAUCACACAAAUAAAUUUAAUAUUAUAUACCAAUUGCACUACAAGAAAAACGCGAAUUACAUACAGAUUAUUACAUACGGAUUAAAAUCCGUAUGUAAAAUCAACAUUACAUACGGAUUAAAAUCCGUAUGUAAUUUUUGGCGCCAUGCAGGAUUUUUUCCGUAUGUAAAUAUUAGCACCAUAAAAUAAAAUUAGCAGUGAAUGGGAUUCGAAACCAGGUUCCUUCAGCAAUCCUUCAGCAACCAAGUAAAAUUUAACCACUACACCAAGCAAAUUCUUUAGUUUUAUUAUGAUUUUUAUUAUACUUAUUAUUAUUAAUAAUACUAACAAUAUUAAUAAUACAAACAAUAUUAAUAAUAUUAACAAUAUUAACAAUAUUAAUAAUAUUAACAAUACUAACAAUAUUAAUAAUACUAACAAUAUUAAUAAUACUAAAAAUAUUAAUAAUACUAACAAUAAUAAUAAUACUAACAAUAAUAAUGAUACUAACAAUAUUAACAUAUGAAUCACAUUUAAUUUAUCUAUAAUCUACUUGAAUCUAAACAUAAUUUAUUAUAUUAUCUAUUAGUAUGAAUCAAAUUUAAUAUAUGUCAUACUCAUAGUCAUCAUAUUACCUNNNNNNNNNNNNNNNNNNNNNNNNNNNNNNNNNNNNNNNNNNNNNNNNNNNNNNNNNNNNNNNNNNNNNNNNNNNNNNNNNNNNNNNNNNNNNNNNNNNNNNNNNNNNNNNNNNNNNNNNNNNNNNNNNNNNNNNNNNNNNNNNNNNNNNNNNNNNNNNNNNNNNNNNNNNNNNNNNNNNNNNNNNNNNNNNNNNNNNNNNNNNNNNNNNNNNNNNNNNNNNNNNNNNNNNNNNNNNNNNNNNNNNNNNNNNNNNNNNNNNNNNNNNNNNNNNNNNNNNNNNNNNNNNNNNNNNNNNNNNNNNNNNNNNNNNNNNNNNNNNNNNNNNNNNNNNNNNNNNNNNNNNNNNNNNNNNNNNNNNNNNNNNNNNNNNNNNNNNNNNNNNNNNNNNNNNNNNNNNNNNNNNNNNNNNNNNNNNNNNNNNNNNNNNNNNNNNNNNNNNNNNNNNNNNNNNNNNNNNNNNNNNNNNNNNNNNNNNNNNNNNNNNNNNNNNNNNNNNNNNNNNNNNNNNNNNNNNNNNNNNNNNNNNNNNNNNNNNNNNNNNNNNNNNNNNNNNNNNNNNNNNNNNNNNNNNNNNNNNNNNNNNNNNNNNNNNNNNNNNNNNNNNNNNNNNNNNNNNNNNNNNNNNNNNNNNNNNNNNNNNNNNNNNNNNNNNNNNNNNNNNNNNNNNNNNNNNNNNNNNNNNNNNNNNNNNNNNNNNNNNNNNNNNNNNNNNNNNNNNNNNNNNNNNNNNNNNNNNNNNNNNNNNNNNGAAUAUUAAUACUAAUAAUAUUAAUACUAAUAAUAAUAUCAAUAAUAAUAUUAAUAAAUAUUAAUAAUAAUAUGAAUAUUAAUACUAAUAAUAAUAAUAAUAAUAUUAAUAAUAUUAAUAAUAAUAUUAAUAAUAAUAAUAAUAAUAAUAAUAAUAUUAAUAAUAUUAAUAAUAUUAGUAAUAAUAUUAGUAAUAAUAUUAAUAAUAUUAAUAAUAAUAUUAAUAAUAUUAAUAAUAAUAUUAAUAAUAUUAAUAGUAAUAUUAAUAAUAUGAAUAAUAAUAUUAAUAAUAUGAAUAAUAAUAUUAAUAAUAUUAAUAAUAAUGUUAAUAAUAUUAAUAAUAAUAUUAAUAAUAAUGUUAAUAAUAAUAUUAAUAAUAAUAUUAAUAAAUAUUAAUAAUACGAAUAUAAUGUUAAUAAUAAUAUUAAUUAUAACAUUAAUAAAUAUUAAUAAUAUUUAUAAUAUGAAUAUAAUGUUAAUAAUAAUAUUAAUUAUAACAUUAAUAAAUAUUAAUAAUAUGAAUAAUAUUAAUAAAUAUUAAUAAUAUAAAUAUAAUUUAUUUUAUUAUUAUUAUUAAUAAUUAUAUUAAUAUGUAUAAAUUAUAUUAAUAUGUAUAAGUAUAAUAAAAAUGAUAAUAUGACCAAAGAACUUGUCUGGUCUAGUGGUCAAUGCUUCCCCUGGUCACUGGAAAGACUUGGGUUCGAAUCCUGGCUGCUGCAGUUUGCUUGUAACAUUAUUUGGGGCUUGGUUUCGAGUCCUAGCCAGUGCAAAAUGCCUCUAGGAUUAAUAAAAAAAUAUAGAUAAUGAUAAAUAAUAAUUAGUAAUAAUGAAAAAAUUAAAAAAAAAAUUUACAUUACAUACGGAUUUUAGGUCUUACAUACGGAUUUUGACUGUAUGUAAUUCCAAGUUUUCUUGUAGUGUUGCUAAAUUCAUUCAUAUCUAAUAUUAGAAACAAUGUUGAUAUUUACCCCCGAUAAAAUUAUUGUGAGUAUUAUUACCAAAUACGAUAUAAUUUUCCCCGUUAUAUUGAACCUCUCUUUGCAUUUUGUUAAAGUUGAUGUGAGAAAAAAAAAAACAUGUAGUCUGAUCACGGUGAAGAACGUAAAAAUUGUGUAAAAUUAAAAAAAGUCACAGUAAGUUGUAAAAUUAAAAAAAAAUCACAGUAAGUUGCCAGAGGCCGUGAAUUUAAAAUUUGAUAUUAAAUUUUUUAUAUGUUGAGAGUUAUUGAAAGAAUCUUAUCCACGAAAAGAAAAGAAUGAAUGUAUACCACUUAUAUUUCAAUAUUUUGACAAUCAUCACGCAAAACAGGUGCCACAUUUGACACAUUUAACGAGAAGUGAUGUGUCUCAGAAGACGAAGACUUUUCUCACAAUCAUUCAUUACUGUGUUCGUACUAUGAAACAUUAAUUGUCUGUUUGUUUUUGGACAGAAAUACUAAAACUUAAAAAUUCAACCAAAAAUAUCAACAUUUAAACUUUCGGUUUAAAAGUGCGAGAAGAAGAUGUGGCAAAAAAUAAUCAAAUAAACAAACUCGAUUCCAGAAUCCUAUGAAUUAUGGUAAUUGCGUACUAUGUUUUGCUGAUCAUACACACCAAAUUUAUUUUAAAAUAUAAAAUAAUUUGAGAUGGAUAAAUUAGAAAAAUGAAAAAUAUUAUUAUUUUUUUAUUAGGUUAAGGGUGUUCACAAAUUUUGUACAUGUAAAAGAAAAACAUUCCCAUCAAAAUUAAGAGUAAGAAAGGAUUGUUACGUACUUCAGUAAUAGUGGUGGUGGUUAGCUACUUCUUUUGUGUGUUAAUAAGAGUUAAUAGGUGAAAGAAUCUUAUCCACGAAAGAAAAAGAAUGAAUGCAUACAACAAGUAUUACUUAUAUUUCAAUAAUUUGACAAUCAUCACGCAAAGAACGUGCCACAUUUAACACAUUUAAUGAGAAGUGAUUUCUGACCAGACGUUCACCAAUACAAAAACCAUUCCUUCCCGUGGUGUUCUUACUAUGAAACAUUAAUUGUCUGUUUAUUUUUCGAUAGAAAUAGUCAAACCUUAAUGCUCUGUUUGUAUACAGUAUUUGUACCUUAAUGCUCUGUUUGUAUACGAUAUUUGUUUCUAGUCAUCUAGACAUAUGUAAAGGCAAAGAAAGAUGAAUGAAGAUAUAAGGUAUCUUCUAUAGUCGAAGAGAAAGUGAAACACAGCAUACAAAGGCUCUCAAAAAAUAAUUUUCUUAUAUUAAUAAUAAUAAAAAUAAUUAUUAAUAUUACUUUUUUAUAAAAAAAAAUAUACUUAAUAUAUAUAUAUAUAUAAUAUAAUAUAAUGUAAUUUAGAUUAAUAAAAUAAAAUAAUAUAAUUAUAUUUAAUUUUUUAAUUUUAUUUCUUUAUUUUAAUUUUACAUUAUUUUAUUUUUUAUUUAUAAUUGUAAUUUUAUAUUAUUUUAAUCAACUAAAAUAUCCACAAAAUUAAUUAUUAUUAGAAUUAGUUUUAUUUCAGAUAUUCAUUUAAGUAGGAUAUUAAGUAAAUUAGAAUUUGUAUAAGCAUUUGUAUAUGUUUUGUUUUUGGUUGACUAAUAAUCCAUCUUUCCUUAUAGGCUUUGGGAUAUUGGUGAGCAGAGAUGUGUGCAUUCUUAUGUUGUUCAUACAGAUUCAGUAACAUUUAGUCAUGUUUAUAGUUUCAGUGAGUGUCCUUUUGUUGUGAAAAUUAAUAAUUUUAAUAGGUUCCUGUAUGUAAAGAACCUACCUUCACUAACCUGGGUACACCUGGAAUAGUACAACAUGAAGUUUUGAAUAAUAAGAGGCAUGUGUUGACGAAGGUAACAGUGGUGUUUUCUGGUCAUUUUUUGUGCCAUGCAUAUUGAUAGUUCGUUGGUGUCAUCCAUUUUUGUGUGAAAUUAAUAUCCUUUGUCGUUACUGGGAAUCCUAACAUGCAUGGGAAUCCUAUUUGCUGUAAUGAGUUGUAUUUUCACUAUUGUCUGAAUGUUCAUUAUUGGUACCACGAGUAACUUUAAUUUUUGCUAAAAUUGUGCUAUGAAACAUGUUUUAGAUUUUAAUUGAUUUUUUUAUUUAAUCAAGCACGAUUUGUUUUUUUUUUAAACUUUUUUAUUUGUUUUUGUUGAAAUCUAAUUGGGAAGAUGACCUAACCUUGGUUUUUUUGUUUGUUUGUUAAAAUCUACUUUCAAGCACGUUUUCAACUUUAAUUUUUUCUUUUUAUUUGUCAUUUCUUUUUGUUUUAUACCUAAAUGAUAUUUAGUUUUUUGAAAAGUUUUUAUUUAAUUUUUUUACUUUAGUUUUGCAAAUUGUUUCUUAUUUAAUGUAUUUGUUUUUAUUAACUUAAAUAUUUGUUUGACAAUCCAAACAUAUUUCCAUUAACAUUCGUAAUUGGACAAAGGAAGCUUUGAUUUGCUUCUUCUAAUUAUUGUUAAUAUUAUUACACCUCAAUAAAUUUUAGGCUUGAUAUUAAAUAAAAGACCAACUAUUUUGUUAGCACUAUAAUAUGAAGUUGUUGGAAGACAUAGGGUUAGUAUAGUGCAUAUACAAUAUAUUACUUUCAACUUCAACUAAAUAUUCAAAGUUAAAGACAUGUUUUAGCCCAAUGGCACAUGCUGGUAUGCAAGCUGCUUUGACAUGUAGGCUCUGGCACAUACUGGUUCAGGAAUUUUUUUUUAGCAUGUUUUGGUGAUGUGGGUUUGCUGAGAAAGCGUGCUCGGGAACCUAUUUUUUUGGAGUUAGGCUAUGUUAUUGUCAUAUUCUAGUCUCCUUUAGAAGCAUAGGAUUGGUUAGUUGGUUCUUUGGCUCACUAUUUUCACCUUAUUUUGACUUGAAACUUUGAUACAUGCUCUUGAGAUUAGUUUUUUUUUUUAUGUAUAAGGUUGUCUCACAUUUUUCUGAAGAGUCACUUCAAAUUUACAAAAUUCUUUGUUGACAAAAAAAAAUAUAUAAGUAAUGUAAAUCACAUUUUAUAAAUUAAUUUUAUAAAGUUGAGUUAUCAAUUUCUUAAUAAGUUGUUUCAUGGACAAAUCAAAUAACAGUGAAAAAGUUUAAAUAAAAAAGAUAAUUAUAAAUUAACAAUUUAACAAAACAAAAUGUUAUUUAGAAACAAAUUUCUACCACAAAACACUCAUUCUUAUAAAAGUUUAAAAAUUACAUAAAUUUCAUACAAAAUAUCUCCAUUUUGUUAAAUUAGACCAUGUUACCCACUAGUAAUGCCUAAGAACUACACCUGCUAAAAUUUCAUUGAUAUUUAUCACAACAAACCAGUACAUUUCUUCAUAAUACAAAAUAUAUCUCACAUUAUAUCUACUUCUUUUCUUCGGUCACAUUAUGAGAAUGACCUAUAAUCCCAUGAAAUACAGUUUACAAGGUAGACCUUAUAAAAUUAGAAGUGCUUUGAGGUUGGUUUUGGUUGCGAAGCAUGUCAUUAAACUCUUUGGUAAACCUUUCCAUAGCUUCAGCAGGCAAGAAAAUCGAAAAUGUCAUUCCUUCUUCUCCUUUUCCAUUCUUAGCAGAACAGAAAUAAGAUACCGCUGGAAAGCCCCCAGCCCCAGCAUGGGCCACUCCACCAUAGAUAGCUUCACCCCAACCAAAAUCGAUUACUCUAAAAUUCGUACGUGCCAAAUAUGAUACAAUAUAAGACCUCACAGUUGUGAAUAAUAAGCUUCGUUCCUUCAUCACCAUCAAGUCGGCAACAGAUUGCAAGUACUCUUCUUUCAUCUCACCUUUCACUUUAUUUAUUAACUCCACCGCAUACCCAAAUGGGUUUUGGCAAAGCUUCCCUGCACUCGUUACUGCCGCCGGAUAUGCAAAAGCAUUGCCGUAGUAACCAACUGGUAGUGAAGGAUUGAACCGACCACGUGCGUUAACUAUGCACAUCAUGCGAACAUCCUCAUUUGCCUCUAUCUGCAUUGCUUUAGUGCGACAUCGCCACAAACAUGCUGUGAUAAGAUCAAAUGUAGAGCAAUGUUGAAGGUGUUGGGGAAUGGAUUUGCGAAGUGCAGCUAUAUCGAGGCGUCCAAAGAAGAAUGAUCGUUGAAUCAAGUUGUGGUUGGAAGAAGGGAGGGUAUCUUGGAUUUGCUCGUAUUCGCGAUGGUUGCAUGUAAUGCGAGGUGGAUCUCUUGCCAUUAGGAGCUCCCUACGCCAUACUGGUGCAAUGGAAGGUUUGGUUGCUCCUCUAGCCAUUUCGGCCCAAGCGUUCAUGAAUUGUUGGUAACCAAAACCAUCAACCAUGGUGUGGCUAAAGCGGAGAGCUAAG